Molecule: ribosomal RNA, 446 nt
Filed under: uncultured Coriobacteriaceae bacterium
Lineage: Bacteria; Bacillati; Actinomycetota; Coriobacteriia; Coriobacteriales; Coriobacteriaceae
Description: bacterial SSU rRNA
Rfam family: Bacterial small subunit ribosomal RNA
Source: RNAcentral
CCUACGGGGGGCAGCAGUGGGGAAUCUUGCGCAAUGGGCGAAAGCCUGACGCAGCGAUGCCGCGUGCGGGAUGAAGGCCUUCGGGUCGUAAACCGCUUUCAGCAGGGACGAGGCCGCAAGGUGACGGUACCUGCAGAAGAAGCCCCGGCUAACUACGUGCCAGCAGCCGCGGUAAUACGUAGGGGGCGAGCGUUAUCCGGAUUCAUUGGGCGUAAAGCGCGCGUAGGCGGCCUGUUAGGUCAGGAGUUAAAUCCGGGGGCUCAACCCCCGUCCGCUCCUGAUACCGGCAGGCUUGAGUCUGGUAGGGGAAGGCGGAAUUCCAAGUGUAGCGGUGGAAUGCGCAGAUAUUUGGAAGAACACCGGUGGCGAAGGCGGCCUUCUGGGCCACGACUGACGCUGAGGCGCGAAAGCUAGGGGAGCGAACAGGAUUAGAUACCCGAGUAGUC